GGCCGGGUAGCUCAGUUGGUAGAGCAGGGGAUUGAAAAUCCCCGUGUCGGCGGUUCGAUUCCGUCCCCGGCCA
Thiothrix nivea DSM 5205 is the source of this 73-nucleotide transfer RNA. It matches the Rfam family "tRNA". From Rfam's summary of the family: Transfer RNA (tRNA) molecules are approximately 80 nucleotides in length. Lineage: Bacteria; Pseudomonadati; Pseudomonadota; Gammaproteobacteria; Thiotrichales; Thiotrichaceae. The record is from Rfam.